Vespula pensylvanica (western yellowjacket) is the source of this 2052-nucleotide long non-coding RNA. RefSeq lists it as uncharacterized. NCBI's taxonomy places the organism in Eukaryota, Metazoa, Arthropoda, Insecta, Hymenoptera, Vespidae. The record is from RefSeq and is a predicted model, not a curated record. The transcript is spliced from 2 exons.
UAAAUGGUACAAAUAAUUAUUUUAUAGAUCGAAUGUUGGAAACGAAAUUUCAAAUUCAAAUUCAUUUUUUUCAAAUGGAACCAUAUAUUUUUCAUAGUACGAUGCCAUUUGUUAAUACAAAUUUAAUGAACUAUGAGCUUUGUGAUCUUGAGUGAAAAAAGUUUACAAAAUUUGGUGCAAUUGAUACAGAAUGAAAUAAUCAUUGAACCACUUUUUAUUGAUGGUAAUUUGAACGAUCACAAAUUCUAAUUUUCUAAGUAAAGUAUAGUUAUCCGUUAAUUUGAAUUGUAAGAAUGCAUGAGACAAAUUGGGUAAUUUGUUAGGAACAGUUAAGGCCAAGUCACAUUUGGUGACUUUAUCCGCCGCUAUCAUGUGACAGGUUAAUCGUCGCUACUAUUUCAAGUAACGGUUAUAAACGCUGGAGGUGAUUUGAAUUAAACAUGUUCAAUUCUACUUACCAGAAGCAUGCUAUUUUAGUGAUCAUGUGACCUAGUCGCUGUGAGAAAUUUCUGUAACCAUCGCAUGCGAUAAGCUGAUGUAGUGAAAGCAGAGAAGCGACUGGAAGCGUUCCAAGUCCCAUCGCUAGUAACUAUACGUGACAAGUUAAUAGUACUUAAUGUGACGAUUUAGUCGUUGCUUUUAACAGCGACGAGUAAAUUGGCCACGUGUAACAGCCAAAGAACCUGAGUGCUUCCAAAGAUUUUGGGAAGAAGUAUGUGAAAAUCGUUAAGGACACUUCGGAAGUGAGUUAUGCUACGCGAAAGUGAUACGUCUUUAUGGUUAUAUGCAUACUGUCGAACAGUCUAUCGACCAGUUGGUGACUAGAUCGACAAACGAUCUAAAAAACCAGGCGAUCAAAUUCGCCGAUCAAACGAAUCAAAGCGUUUUUGUGUUCGCCGGUGAUUCGCUGGUAUAGACCAGUGAACUGCAUUGAAUCAAAUGCACUCACCUGUAUCAUAAACAGAUUCUUUUAAGAUCAAAUACUGGCAAAUGUGUUCAAGAGGUCUAAGAUGACCGUCUUCACUGCCUAUAUGUAAAUUUGCCAUUGAGAUUAAAUAUUACGAUAUCGAUAAAUUCGAGUCGCAAAGUUUGGUCUUCUGCUUUUCUGUGACUGAUUGUUGGCAACCUGCUUACCGCUGACAAUCGGUAAUGCACACAUUUUCUAAAUUUGUUUUUUUUUUAUGUUUGUUCCUUUUACUAUACUUCUAUAUAGAUAUAUAUCCGUCUAUAUAAAUUAAAUUCAAUAUUUUAAUUAAUUUAUACGUCCACGACUUUAUUAUAAAAGAAAAUUUUUCAACUGAAAUUGAAUAUCAAAAUAGUCUGUAAAUUGUUUUUAAAUUCUGUAAUAUUGAAUACCGUUUCUUUGGAAGUUAGUAUUGCAGCGUGUAAGUACUUGUUUCGAAACCCGACUGCUGUAAUUUUUUAAAAGGAAUAGGUUUACAGAUUUAAAUUUUAAUAUCAAUAUGAGUAGUAAUAAUUAAUUAUUAAUAAGGAUCAAAUUGUUAUAAAUGCCGAGAAUUGCUUUAUAUCAUUAAUUUGCGCAUUCCUUACAUCAUUAUUGAUGGUAAUACGCAAAGUAAGCAUAAAGUAAACGUUAAAUUAGCGCAACGUAAACGCAAAAUAAAUACAAGGUUAGUGCACAAUAAGCACAAAAUGAAUGCAGAAUGCAUGGUAUAGACUAUAAGGUAAAAGUAGAACGAGGGUAUAAAGUAAACGCAGAAUAUGUGAUAUAAGAUAAGCGCAGAACGAUAGCGUAAGGUAAGUACAGAAUAAUGGUAUAAGAGAUGCGCGAUAUAAUGAUGUAAGGGAUGCAUAAAAUGAUGGUGUAAGGAAUACGCGAGUAUAAUGCGAAUACGCGAAUAUGCGAGUAUGCGAUUGAACAUUUAUGAGGAUUCAAAUUGUCAUCGAUAAAAAGUUGAACGAUUAUUUCACUUUGUAUUAAUUGUCCAAAUUUUGUAAAUUUUGUUUCAUUCAAUUAUAGUAAUAUAGUCCGUUGAAUUUGUUUCAAAAAUCAUUUUAUAUAAGAAAAAUAUAUGAUUUCAUUUAAAAGAA